RNAcentral lists this long non-coding RNA (1437 nucleotides) under Sparus aurata (gilthead seabream). RNAcentral's name for it is "lncRNA (ENSSAUG00010016112.1)". Lineage: Eukaryota; Metazoa; Chordata; Actinopteri; Spariformes; Sparidae. The record is from RNAcentral.
UUAAGCUAAUAUCUGUUUUUUUCCUAUAUAAUAUCUGUAUUCAUCAAACUUAGCACUUUUUUCCUUUUUGUCUGUCUUUGUGUCUCUCAGAGAGUGAUGGAUGAGGCCUACAAGCUCAUCGCUCUCACUUACCUCAAACAUCUCGUCCGAAGCAGCCAGAGGAAACUGAGAAAGCGCUGGAGUCCUGAUUUCGUGCUAAAAAUCGUCGAAGAUGCUGAGAGUCUUCACGACACCAUCUCAGACCUGGUGAGACCAACAUUUUGGUAUUAAUCACUGGAAACAGCAUCUUCUUAUUCAUUGUUAACAACAUUUAGCCUUUGUUGUAUCAGGCCCCUGGUGUCCAACAGUGGAACCUCAUGAUGCUGAAAAUCCCAGAGCUGCUGAAUGAUAAAGACAUUGUUGCAGUAAAGCUCACAGCUGCGAACAUGCUGAAAGAAUGUCCCACAUGGAGUGAGGAUGAGGAGUUCCUGUCUGCACUGCUGAAAUGGAAGGGUCUCUGUAAACAAAAGAUUUCAGAGGUGCUAUAUGCCCUUCCUUAGCAUGAACCCACACACAGAUCCGUAUUCCGCCACAUCUGGUCUGUGUACCAAAAGCUACGCAUGGGAUGAUUUCAGAACAAGCAUCGUUUCAGGAAAGGUUCAAAGGAAUUUUUAAAACCUUGUUUGCCAAAAUUUCUCAUUAUUCAAUUCAACAUUUACUUUUUCUUUCAUAAGGCUACUGUACUGUAUUAUGCUUAUCUUUGCAUUGAAUUACACUUUAAACACAGACUCUAUAAAUGUAGUAUUAAGUCUUUUUGCAUCUCCAGAGAAAGUUACUUGUAACUCUAUCUAAACUUUCACUCAGUGGCUACUUUGCAUUGUAAAUGUAGGUGCCAUGUUUUGAAAAUGACAAAGAAUGUGUGGCAUAAAAAAAGUGGUUUGUCUGGUUCUUCUUUAUCAGUUUUGAAUACGUUUUUUUUUAUACUGCUCAUGAGUUCAACAGGUUGGAAAGUACACGUGGACUGCCUUUUAAAAAGAAGAAAUUUAAUAAAAAUGUGAAAACUUCUUGCUAAAACAAAAAAACUUCUUUUGAAAUUCAUAAUUUGACACUGAUCCAUUUUUCUUUUUCAAGUGUGCAGCAAUAUGCCUCUGUAAUUGAAAAAUUAAAGUUUCUGUAUCCAAAAUUUCUUCAGUAAUUGAUUGAAUUAAACAUGUUUUUCAAAUCCAUAUAUGAUUUAGUUGCUGAGAUAAGGAUUUUGACAAAGUAUUACUCGAAAAGUACAGAGUAAAAGUACUUCAUAUUAUUCAUGCAAGUAGUCUAGGAAGUAUUAAGUUCAGCAGUAUUAUCAGUCUUGGACUACUUAUGGAAACAAUGUUUUUUUUUCUCUCAUGUUGUCCUUUACUUUGAAAUCCAGACGGAUACCUUCGUGAUACCUUCAGUUUAUUACCAGAAAUAAUU